This is a non-coding RNA of Elaeis guineensis (African oil palm), 3807 nucleotides long. NCBI's taxonomy places the organism in Eukaryota, Viridiplantae, Streptophyta, Magnoliopsida, Arecales, Arecaceae. The record is from RefSeq and is a predicted model, not a curated record.
UUCAAGCCACCCCUUCCCCACCUUUCCUUCCAAAAUAAUGCUACCGUCUUCCCCUAACAAUAAAGGCCAACUCUACUCGAAAAAGAGAGACCCAUGGGAAUGACUCCCAUCCUGUCCAUCUUCCACUUCCUCUUCCUUUCCCUAUCCUUGUCUUCCUUAUUUGCCGCAGCGGCGAAUCAAUCAAAAGACGAGGAGACGCCGUUCGUCGGUGUCAACAUCGGCACCGACGUCUCCAACCUUUUUACGCCGGAGGAGCUGGUGGCCUUUUUGAAGUCCCAGCAGAUAACCCACAUCCGGCUCUACGACGCCGACCCAGCCCUCCUCGCCGCCCUCGCCGGCACCGGCAUCCGUGUCGUCCUCGGCAUCCCCAACAACCAGCUACUCGCCCUGGGUUCCUCCAACGCCACCGCCGUAGCCUGGGUCGCCCGCCACGUCCUCUCCUUCCUCCCCUCCACCCUCAUCUCCGCCAUCGCCGUCGGCGACGAGGUGCCCGCCUCCCUCCCGUCUGCCCUUCCCCUCCUCCUUCCCGCCCUCCGCUCCCUCUCCUCCGCCCUCUCCUCCUCCGCCGACCCUCCCAUCAAGCUCUCCACCCCUCUCCCUUUCUCCAUCAUCCUCGACCCCUUCCCCCCCUCCCAGGCAUUCUUCAACCAGACGCUGGCCUCCUCCUUCCUUCUCCCCCUCCUUGAAUUCCUCUCCGACACAGAUUCCCCUCUCAUGCUCAACCUCUACCCCUAUUACGCCUUGAUGCAGAGCCGCGGCGUGAUCCCCCUCGACAAUUCUCUCUUUAAACCCCUCCCACCGUCGCUCGAGGAGGUGGAUCCCAAUACCCUCCUCCACUACACCAACGUCUUCGACGCCAUGAUCGACGCCGCCUACUUCUCCAUGAAAAACCUCAACGUCACCGAUGUGCCUAUCCUCAUCACCGAGACCGGCUGGCCCUCCAACGGCUCCCGCAAGGACGAGCCCUUCGCCACCAAGGACAACGCCGACACCUACAACUCCAAUGUCAUCAAGCACAUCCUCGACCGCUCCGGAACGCCGCUCCACCCGGAGAUCACAUCGAGCGUCUACAUUUACGAGCUGUUCAAUGAGGAUUUGAGGCCGGGGCCGGUGUCGGAGGGGAACUGGGGGCUUUUCUACGGGAGCGGGACACCGGUAUACUUGCUUCAUUUGGUGGGGAGCGGCGAGUUCUUGGCGACGGACACGACGAACAGGACGUACUGCGUGGCGGCGGAGGGGGCGGACGGGAAGGCGCUGCAGGCGGCGCUGGACUGGGCGUGUGGGCCGGGGCUGGCGAAUUGCUCGGAGAUACAGCCCGGGGAGAGCUGCUACGAGCCAAACAAUGUUGGGAGCCACGCAUCAUAUGCAUUUGAUAGCUACUACCAGAAGGAGGGGAAGGUGCCCGGAUCCUGCUACUUCCAAGGGGUGGCCAUGGUCACCACCACCGACCCCGGUCAUCAUCAAAGACGAAGGCGUGAAGGUCGAGGGAGGAGGGGCGACAGCCUGUGGUGGAGAAAAAGAAAGAGGAGGGAGGCGGGGCGGUUGUGGGAGGGGGGGCAGCGGCCUGCGGCGGAGAAAGAAGAGGGAGGCGGGGCAUUUGUGUGAGAGGAGGGGGGCAACCUGCAGUGACGAAGAAGAAAGGAGUGGAGGGGGCGGCCUGCAGCGGAAAAAAAGAUCAGGGGGGUUUGCAGCAGAGAAGAAGAAAGGGCAGCCUCAGCCUGUGGCAGAGAAAAAGAGGGGUGGAGAAGAAGAAUGGGAAAAGGAAAAGGGGAAGCAAAAAGGCUUAGUAUAAUCCAUGCAACUCUAAAAAAAACAACAUACCCAACCUAGCCUAGAAAUAUCUAAUAAAGGAUUAUCAAUUGAUGAGGGGGAGGGAAGGCGGUGCAGUAGCAGGAUGGGAGGGUUGCGACAGAAAAAAAGGGAGAAGGCAACGCGGUUGCGGGAGGGGGGACACGAGCAUUAGGAGGAGGAGGAAGACUGCCGGGGAGGUGGGCGGGAGGUGGCAGAUGACAGCGAGAAGAAACGAAGGCGGAGGAUUAAAAAAUAAUAAAUAAUAAAUAAUAAUAAUAUAAUAUCAUAAAUGCUCUUCAUAAUAAAAAAAUAUUAAAAAAAUAUCAUAUCAAAAUUUUUAAAAUUAAUAUUAUAUUUUAAUCUUAAGAUUUAUUUCAAGCUUUCCACCUAAGUUUUUCAUCUGAUUGAACUCUUGUGAAUGGAAAAAAAAUCAACGAAAACAAAAAGAAAGAUGAAAAAAAAUAAAAGACAAAAUCUUUUCUUGAUUUCUUUUUUGGAUCUAUUGAUUGGAUUUAUUGAGUUCGUUUUAAGAGUAUAAUAAUAAAAAAAAUUAUAUUUUUUUUCUUUCUUCUUUACUUCCAAUCAAGAAGGGAAGAAAUAAUUUUUUUUUCUUUCUUUAAACUUCCAAUCAAGAGAAAAAAAAUAUAUUUUCUUUUUUUACUUUUCUUUUUUCUUCUUACAAUUUUUUUUUUCUUUUUCAAAAGCGUCAAUGUUGAAGACUCUCUAUGGAUCAUUUGCAACAGUAGUGACCAUUCAUGGCCAACCAGAGAAAUUAUAAGCACUUCAACAUGAGGGUUUUAUGUGCAACAUUAAAGAAUUAGAGGGUUUAUAUGCAACUUGAGAAGAUUUCAAUGACUAACAUGCUGAAAACGACUUUUUAAUCAGAAAGGUAUGCUGGGUUUGCAGCCAGAAGCUGUGUACAGUUCCCAAGUCAUAGACAUUAACAGUGAAAUCUUUGUUGCGAUGGCCACAUGCUCACGACUGAGAAGUUGUCGACUCAUAACUGCAAUAAACAUAACAGCAAAUUCUUCCUAGAGGAAUAAAAUACCAACCGGAACAUGUGAUGAUUGUUUCUUAGUUUUUUGUUGAGCUGAUACUAAACCAGAUUGUUUUUAGGUAUCUUGAUCAAUUAUUAUCCCAAUUUCCCCCUAGUACCCACCAGUUUGAAUCUAUUAUCUAUCCAUCUAGCAGCUUAAUUGCCCACACAACCCAAUUUUCAUAUAUUCUGAGAGUGGUCCUACUUGUUACAACCAAUUGCAAAUGGCACUGGCAUUGCAAUUUAAACAGUCUUUUACUUUGCAUAUAAGGUAUCAUUAUAUGAGUUGACCCAAUAGUUGCAUGCUCAGGGACUAAUAAUUUCUCACUCUAGCUUUUAGCUGUCAUUUUUGUUCAAACUUUUUAUAUUAUGUCAUCAUUAUCAUUACCAUUAACUAUUUUUCUGGUUGUGCUAGAACUUUGGUUGCUGAGAGACAAAAAAUUGUGGUUAUGUUUCAGGUCAUGGGGAUUGCAUCUUUCCUGGAAGCAAGCAGGAGAGUAACAUCACCAAUGCUGGAGCUAAUGCAACUCAGGCCAGUAAGGCUGAGGGAUGCACCAGAUUCAGACCAAGAAAAAGAUGGAAUCAAGGCCUCCACAUUCUUUACAUGGUCAUGAGCAUGAUGGUGGUGGUUACCUUCUCAACCUCCAACUUCUGGACAUGAUGGCAGGCAACAAAGAAGAAAUGGAAUCUGACAAAUUCGCCAGAAGAGUCCAAAAAUGUGUUCAUUCUUCUCAUAAGCUCAUGAUUUUAUGCACCUCGUCCUCGUUAUUCAUUUUUGCAAUACUGUUUACUCUUUUGAUUUAAUUUUUUUUUGUAUUUAUUUUUACCCAUCAUUUAUUAUUUGUGGGAAAAGAAUAGGAAGCCAGACAGGAAAUCACUCGGAAACUAGUUAGAAGUGUGUUUAUGUGCACGUGCUUCAUUGUUUCCUGCUAGUUGCCUCAUUUUGAGGAAGUGGAAUUGAAUAUGUUUCCAAUGACCAU